AAUCUACAUAAGUGUUGUACUUAUAUAAUGUCAUAAUAUGGUUGACGAGUUUCUACCUAAGACCGAAAAUCUUGGACUAUAAGUAAAAAAAGCUGUAGU
This 99-nucleotide non-coding RNA is filed under the name Liquorilactobacillus capillatus. RNAcentral's name for it is "Lactobacillus capillatus Guanine sequence". It matches the Rfam family "Purine riboswitch aptamer". Rfam says of the family: Riboswitches are metabolite binding domains within certain messenger RNAs that serve as precision sensors for their corresponding targets. Allosteric rearrangement of mRNA structure is mediated by ligand binding, and this results in modulation of gene expression. RNAcentral also lists the same sequence under 1 other name. Lineage: Bacteria; Bacillati; Bacillota; Bacilli; Lactobacillales; Lactobacillaceae. The record is from RNAcentral.